CCUACGGGCGGCUGCAGUGGGGAAUAUUGGACAAUGGGGGCAACCCUGAUCCAGCCAUGCCGCGUGUGUGAAGAGGGCCCUCGGGUUGUAAAGCACUUUCAGUGAGGAAGAACGCCUGGUGGUUAAUACCCAUCAGGAAAGACAUCACUCACAGAAGAAGCACCGGCUAACUCCGUGCCAGCAGCCGCGGUAAUACGGAGGGUGCGAGCGUUAAUCGGAAUUACUGGGCGUAAAGCGCGCGUAGGUGGCUUGAUAAGCCGGUUGUGAAAGCCCCGGGCUCAACCUGGGAACGGCAUCCGGAACUGUCAAGCUAGAGUGCAGGAGAGGAAGGUAGAAUUCCCGGUGUAGCGGUGAAAUGCGUAGAGAUCGGGAGGAAUACCAGUGGCGAAGGCGGCCUUCUGGACUGACACUGACACUGAGGUGCGAAAGCGUGGGUAGCAAACAGGAUUAGAUACCCUAGUAGUC
This 465-nucleotide ribosomal RNA is filed under the name Vreelandella stevensii. RNAcentral's name for it is "partial 16S ribosomal RNA". It matches the Rfam family "Bacterial small subunit ribosomal RNA", at positions 338 to 795 of the family's 1533-position model. Lineage: Bacteria; Pseudomonadati; Pseudomonadota; Gammaproteobacteria; Oceanospirillales; Halomonadaceae. The record is from RNAcentral.